UACGGAGGAUCCAAGCGUUAUCCGGAUUUAUUGGGUUUAAAGGGUGCGUAGGUGGGAUAAUAAGUCAGAGGUGAAAGCUAGCAGCUUAACUGUUAAAUUGCCUUUGAUACUGUUAUUCUUGAGUAUAGUUGGCGUUGGCGGAAUGUGACAUGUAGCGGUGAAAUGCGUAGAUAUGCCACAGAACACCGAUCGCGAAGGCAGCUAACGAAACUAUCACUGACACUGAUGCACGAAAGCGUGGGGAGCAAACAGG
RNAcentral lists this ribosomal RNA (253 nucleotides) under uncultured bacterium. Its description in RNAcentral is "partial 16S ribosomal RNA". It matches the Rfam family "Bacterial small subunit ribosomal RNA", at positions 524 to 776 of the family's 1533-position model. The record is from RNAcentral.